AUGUCAGUGGAAAAGAUGGGAAAGCACAUCAGCAUAUCAGGAAAUUGGUCGAAAAGUAUGAAAAAGAAAUGCAAGCUGAAGACUCAUUGCACUCUGUGCCAGGGCUUUCAAAAACUUCAACCAAUCACUGGAUUAGUUCUAGUCUUCAACAGUAAAAUGUAUAAAUAUUUAUUGAUUGAUUUUCUUUUUAUUUUUUUUUUAUGUCUAAUUUUUUUUAUUAUUAUUUUCAUGGGGGUGUAGAACGUAGACUAGGACAUUCCACAUUGCAGGCCUUCCUUACCCAUUUGGGUUUGAAUUAAAUCCAUUUUAAAGCCUUUCUAUACAUAAUGUAAUUUGCACCCUACUACUUGGGUGAACUCUGUACAGUUGUGAAGGUAAGCAGAUAGUUUGGUUGAUUUGAACUACUUAAAAUGAGCAAAAGCCAGUCAGUCAAACUGAUAGAGUAAGUCAAACCCAAGAUCAGUGGAAGUCAAUUCAUGUAGCCUAGCCUAUGAAGUUCCAUCAUUUCAACUUUAAGUGUGUGUAAAAUAAGUCAAACGACUUUAAUCUUUAUAUCAGUUGUUCAAUUUUCCUCCUUAAAUCCAUUUUGUAUUGCUAAAAUUAUCAUCCGAGCCCCAAUCGUUUGAGUAGCUUUAUCUGACAGUAACAUUCUAAAAAUGGAGAGCCCAUCUUUGACAAAAAUGUGUUUGAUUCAGUUAUUAAUGCAGUGACUGCUCGUUUAAAUGUGGGAUGUAUGCCGAUGGCAACAUCUUAUCCACUAUCGUAGGGCGGUUGUGUGAUGAAUCGUGCCAACAUCUAGCAUUAUCUUAUUUGUAUUUGUACAUGAACCUGUUAAUUAUAUCUUAAUUAAGUCGUGUUUCCUAGAACAGAUAAAUUUCUUCUGUUUUGUUUUUUCCAUUUCAUAGUAAGAGGGAAACUAUUUGAUUGUCGAUGAGCAGUUGCUUGCGUUAAGUCAUUGUUCAGGAAUGAAUAGUUGCAUUCAAUUUCAUACGAAAGUAGAAUGAUUUGUCGCAAUGCUAAUGUACCAAUCUAUGCUAUUAUUUUUCAGCCAUUUUUUGGUGAAAAAUGUGCGCUAAUUGAUUUCUUUCUGUUCUUUCUUCAUCUCUGUCUCAAUCCCUCUGUUAUUAGUUCAUCCCGGCACAUUUGUUGUUUAUUGAUUACAAUUCAUCAUUUUGUUCUUUUCAUCCAUGAUUUACUUCAAAUUAUAAAACAUAUUUUGUUAUUAUAUUUAUAAGAGGAUGAAUCCCAUGGUUUUUCUUUUUUACCUAAAGCUGCCUAUUGGUUUUCGGGAAGCUAUCGUAACAGGUCGCAAUAAGUCGCAACAAUGAGAAGAUCUUACAGAUAGCAAUUAGAGUUUGAAGCUGACAACACUAAGCUGUUGCCGUGUGCACCAGGGCCAAGCAAUCCAACGAGUAGACAUAACGCAUAUCGUAUCGAUUCGAAGUACAUGCAGUUCCUUGCACAUCAGAUCCCUAUAUCAAGGUGUGAUGGUGAAACUCCCAAACGGCGUAUCUCGGUUUGUGAUGUCGUAAGUUCCUGUCAAAACUGUAUUUUGUCAAUAGAACUACUCAGUGUCAAUUCUUUAAAACUUGCGUGAUAUUCUUUCCCGUGCCAAGAAGAAAAUUCUGAAAAAUACUUCAAGGAAUGAUUGUUGAUUCCUAAAAUGAUAGUGAAGAUGUGGGAAACUCCGCCCACGAGAUAAGUGGUGCGGAAGUUUCGCCGUUGAUAUCUCUUUCAAAGUCUCUUCAUCUCUCGCCCUCUGUCAGUAAUCUAUUAAACCAGCUUCACUACAACAUUAAGUUUUUGCAAUUCUUUUGUCUCUGACAAUACUUACAACCUAUCUAUGUGAUCCUCAACCCAAUUGGUUUCAACAGAAGUCUUGAUUCUUCCCACUGUCAGAAAAUUGCAUAAUUAGCUUAUUUUUGAAUACACCUCUGUAGGUAAAACUCAGGUAAAUUGUAGCAAUCUGUGACCCGAGAGACAACAAACACAGC
This 1994-nucleotide long non-coding RNA is filed under the name Bemisia tabaci. Its description in RNAcentral is "lncRNA ENSSWEETPG011991". Lineage: Eukaryota; Metazoa; Arthropoda; Insecta; Hemiptera; Aleyrodidae. The record is from RNAcentral.